RNAcentral lists this long non-coding RNA (629 nucleotides) under Mus pahari (shrew mouse). RNAcentral describes it as "lncRNA (MGP_PahariEiJ_G0005551.1)". The record is from RNAcentral. Lineage: Eukaryota; Metazoa; Chordata; Mammalia; Rodentia; Muridae.
GAGAGAAACUGCACUGCCAAAAGGCCUUGCCAAAUCCCACAGGAGCUCAGUGGUGGCAGCAGCCGAGGAGAGUCACAGUGGGAAAUGGCACAAAGGUUGGCACCUCAGCAAGAACAGCAGAGGUGGAGAAGCAGUUAACCCUGGAGAAGCUGCUUUUAACCCUCCUCCUUUCCUUUCAGCUGUUGGAAGAAUGCUUAGGUGAUCUCCAACACUGCAGUGGACAGCAGCACCAUCGGGAGCGCUCCAUGGAACCCAAAAUGUGCUAGGGAUGCUUCCUCAAUGCUGUGAUGCAAACAUCAGACCCUGAUCUCAUUCAGGCCCUUAGACUAAUGAGCCUCCAGACUCAUAUACCAAAUAAAGUUUUGUGGAUUUUGAAUGACCUAAUCUUAAGGCAGGGGUUGCAAACUUAGACACAUAAGGAGCCGGGCAAGACGGUGCUGAUAGAUGAGGGCAUGAUGUUCUCUGCCCUCUGGUUCUCCCUCUUAAAGGAAACAAUGACUGAUAUGUGACAAUCUGCCAACAACCCUCAGCCUGCAGUGUUUAGAAUGGCUCUUGAAAUCCCUUGAGGACCAAGAACUUCUCUCUGUCUGCUCCAAAAUUUCAAGGAAAUAUGACAUUUUCUUUUAAGG